ACCUACGGGAGGCAGCAGUGGGGAAUAUUGCACAAUGGGGGGAACCCUGAUGCAGCGACGCCGCGUGAGUGAAGAAGUAUUUCGGUACGUAAAGCUCUAUCAGCAGGGAAGAAAAAAGGACGGUACCUGAGUAAGAAGCCCCGGCUAACUACGUGCCAGCAGCCGCGGUAAUACGUAGGGGGCAAGCGUUGUCCGGAUUUACUGGGUGUAAAGGGCGCGUAGGCGGGAUAGCAAGUCAGUCGUGAAAUGCCGAGGCUUAACCUCGGAGCUGCGAUUGAAACUGUUAUUCUUGAGUAU
Molecule: ribosomal RNA, 297 nt
Filed under: uncultured bacterium
Lineage: Bacteria
Description: partial 16S ribosomal RNA
Rfam family: Bacterial small subunit ribosomal RNA
Source: RNAcentral